This 70-nucleotide transfer RNA is filed under the name Ictidomys tridecemlineatus (thirteen-lined ground squirrel). RNAcentral's name for it is "Spermophilus tridecemlineatus (thirteen-lined ground squirrel) tRNA". It matches the Rfam family "tRNA". Rfam says of the family: Transfer RNA (tRNA) molecules are approximately 80 nucleotides in length. Lineage: Eukaryota; Metazoa; Chordata; Mammalia; Rodentia; Sciuridae. RNAcentral also lists the same sequence under 1 other name. The record is from Rfam by way of RNAcentral.
GGGGUUGUGGCUCAGCGGUAGAGCGCUCGCCUAGUGUGCGUGAGGCCCUUGGGUUCGAUCCUCAACACCA